AUUAUUUAUUUUUUUUUAUUUUAAGAGUUGAUGAUAGAAAGAUAUGAAGUUUAAGGCAAAUUAAGAAUAAAAUUCCUUAUUUCUAAUAUCUUCUAGUAUUCCACCAUCAAAAAUAAUUAGUUAGAUACAAAAAUUAUUAUGUGUUGUGGUGAUUAUACAGUCUUUUCAUUUACAAAUACCAAAUAAUGUCAAAACUAUAAUUAUGUUAUGUUGCUAACCUCUUUCCUUCAUAUUGUAUUAUACGUGCAAACUUAUAGGCUCUGUUAGUUUCAUGAAAAAGAAAAAUAUUUUUCACAUUUCCUAGAGUUUGGGAAACUCGAGAAAAUUGAUCAACAUAAAAUAUUUUCCUAAUUAAAGGGAAAUCUAAGUUAUUUUUAACAAAAAUUACUUUCUCUUUUGAAAAGAGAAAGUCAAUUUCUAUUUUCUAGACUUUGAUAAUUUUAUUAAAAUGUGA
RNAcentral lists this unclassified non-coding RNA (454 nucleotides) under Hevea brasiliensis (rubber tree). The record is from RNAcentral. Lineage: Eukaryota; Viridiplantae; Streptophyta; Magnoliopsida; Malpighiales; Euphorbiaceae.